RNAcentral lists this long non-coding RNA (430 nucleotides) under Danio rerio (zebrafish). RNAcentral's name for it is "lncRNA (ENSDARG00000117744.1)". Lineage: Eukaryota; Metazoa; Chordata; Actinopteri; Cypriniformes; Danionidae. The record is from RNAcentral.
CUUUUCUGUCUGCAAAUGUGAAAAUAAUAUCUAAAUGAUGCUUUUGCUCUACUUUUAGUGUGACUGUGUUUGUUUGCAGUUGCUGAAGAAGAUUUCAAGAGUCUUAUACAACAUUGUCGUUUUGUUCAUUCCAUGGGAGAUGAGGAUUAAAAAGAUUGAAAGUCACUUUGGGUCAGGAGUGGCUUCUUACUUCAUAUUCCUGCGAUGGCUGUUUGGGAUCAAUAUAGUUCUCACUAUUAUGACUGGAGCCUUUAUUGUCCUUCCUGAGCUACUGGCCGGCGCUCCAUUCGGCACAACGCGGAGCAAAACCAUUCCUAAAGAGCACUUUGCCUCGGCACAAGACCUGGACACCAUCUGGUCGCUCGGGGCAAGAUUUUCCUCUCUCUCUUUUUACUGCUUUACCAAUAUGUCGUGCAUAUUAUCUGUGUGA